Molecule: long non-coding RNA, 542 nt
Organism: Gossypium raimondii (Peruvian cotton)
Lineage: Eukaryota; Viridiplantae; Streptophyta; Magnoliopsida; Malvales; Malvaceae
Exons: 2
Source: RefSeq, a predicted model, not a curated record
GCGCAGCAAUGGAUUAAAAUAAAACACAUUAGUGCUUAAAAACGUAAAUAACCCAUUAGUGCUUAAAACCCUUUUCAAUCUCAAAUUAAAGCCUUAUUCUGCAGCAGCAACAGCUGCAAGAAUUAUUUCAUCUUCUCCCCAGUUCUUCACGCCAAAACCCCCUCCCCUCUAACUUCGAUUUGGACAAAAUGAAGCAAACGAUGUCGACGGCGCGCCUCUGCUGGUGCGUGGAGGACGUGCGUAGCGUUCGUGCGGGGCUACCAUGCGUGCGAGCAAGGACGUGGGGGCAAUGGGCAGUUGCUACGGCAUUGAGAAAGGGAAAACAAAAACUGCUGCUAGGGUCUUAGGGUUUUUCUCUUGGGCUAUACUGUAGUUGGGCUUGGGUUUAAGUUAAUGGGAUUGUAGUUUGGGUUAUUUGGGUUAAAUGUAUUUAGUUUUAGUAUUUGAUUUGGGCUGUGUAAAUGGUUUUGGGCCCCGGGCAAUAAUUGGGUAUUAGACAGUAGAACAUAAAAUAAAAAUAAAAAUAAUUUUUUCUGACUUCA